AUUGAACGCUGGCGGCAUGCUUUACACAUGCAAGUCGAACGGUAACAGGGUGCUUGCACCGCUGACGAGUGGCGAACGGGUGAGUAAUGCGUCGGAACGUGCCGAGUAAUGGGGGAUAACGCAUCGAAAGGUGUGCUAAUACCGCAUACGCUCUGAGGAGGAAAGCUGGGGAUCGAAAGACUUGGCGUUAUUCGAGCGGCCGACGUCUGAUUAGCUAGUUGGUGAGGUAAAGGCUCACCAAGGCGACGAUCAGUAGCGGGUCUGAGAGGAUGAUCCGCCACACUGGGACUGAGACACGGCCCAGACUCCUACGGGAGGCAGCAGUGGGGAAUUUUGGACAAUGGGGGCAACCCUGAUCCAGCCAUGCCGCGUGUCUGAAGAAGGCCUGGUUGUAAGGUACGUUUAG
This 406-nucleotide ribosomal RNA is filed under the name uncultured bacterium. Its description in RNAcentral is "bacterial SSU rRNA". It matches the Rfam family "Bacterial small subunit ribosomal RNA", at positions 30 to 439 of the family's 1533-position model. The record is from RNAcentral.